UACGUAGGGGGCAAGCGUUGUCCGGAAUCAUUGGGCGUAAAGAGCGUGUAGGCGGUCCGGUCAGUCGGUUGUGAAAGUCAAGGGCUCAACCCUUGAAUGCCGGCCGAUGCUGCCGGGCUAGAGUCCGGAAGAGGUGAGUGGUAUUCCUGGUGUAGCGGUGAAAUGCGCAGAUAUCAGGAGGAACACCAAUGGCGAAGGCAGCUCACUGGGACGGUACUGACGCUGAGACGCGAAAGCGUGGGGAGCAAACAGG
Molecule: ribosomal RNA, 253 nt
Filed under: uncultured bacterium
Lineage: Bacteria
Description: partial 16S ribosomal RNA
Rfam family: Bacterial small subunit ribosomal RNA
Source: RNAcentral